UGGCUGUAAUGCUAGGGUCUCAGGAGUCUGAGACAGGAAGAUUAUGAGUUCAAAGCCAGCCUCAGCAAUUUAGGGAGGCACUAAGCAACUUAGAGAGACCCUGUCUCUAAAUAAAACAUAAAAAAAGGGCUGGGGAUGUAGCUCAGUGGUUAAGUGCCCCUGGUUCAAUCCCUAAUACCAAACAAACAAACAAAAAGUGUACUGCAGGU
This 209-nucleotide long non-coding RNA is filed under the name Marmota monax (woodchuck). The record is from RNAcentral. Lineage: Eukaryota; Metazoa; Chordata; Mammalia; Rodentia; Sciuridae.